UACGGAGGGAGCUAGCGUUGUUCGGAAUUACUGGGCGUACAGCGCGCGUAGGCGGCUUUGUAAGUUAGAGGUGAAAGCCCGGAGCUCAACUCCGGAACUGCCUUUAAGACUGCAUCGCUUGAAUCCAGGAGAGGUGAGUGGAAUUCCGAGUGUAGAGGUGAAAUUCGUAGAUAUUCGGAAGAACGCCAGUGGCGAAGGCGGCUCACUGGACUGGUAUUGACGCUGAGGUGCGAAAGCGUGGGGAGCAAACAGG
RNAcentral lists this ribosomal RNA (253 nucleotides) under uncultured bacterium. Its description in RNAcentral is "partial 16S ribosomal RNA". It matches the Rfam family "Bacterial small subunit ribosomal RNA", at positions 524 to 776 of the family's 1533-position model. The record is from RNAcentral.